UCGGUCCGGCAAGGGGAACUCCGGCGAGGCAAGGCAGGUGGGCGUCUGGCCCGGGGCAGUGAAGAUUGACGCCGGCAAGGGACCUCAGCGAAGUAGGGCACCGGCGAGUGGCUCCGGCAAGGGCGGCUGCAGGCGACGCGAGGACGUGGAGCGCAGCUACUGGGCGUCACGGACGAAGGGCUGGCGAGCAACCAAGGCGAGGCGGUAGCAGCUGCAGGGGCACCUGGUCGUCGCGGGUCAGUGCGGGCUGAGCAGGGGCGGCGUUGGGCAGAUCUGCCUCGGGUCUGGUCUCGGCAGAGCUUCGGUGGGGAAAGACGCCGGCAAGGAGCU
This 330-nucleotide long non-coding RNA is filed under the name Eucalyptus grandis. Its description in RNAcentral is "long non-coding RNA (EGRA_LNC006839)". The record is from RNAcentral. Lineage: Eukaryota; Viridiplantae; Streptophyta; Magnoliopsida; Myrtales; Myrtaceae.